This 253-nucleotide ribosomal RNA is filed under the name uncultured bacterium. RNAcentral describes it as "partial 16S ribosomal RNA". It matches the Rfam family "Bacterial small subunit ribosomal RNA", at positions 524 to 776 of the family's 1533-position model. The record is from RNAcentral.
UACAGGGGGUGCUGGCGUUGUUCGGAUUCAUUGGGCGUAAAGGGUGCGUAGGCGGUCGUGCAAGUCGGAUGUGAAAUCUCAGGGCUCAACCCUGAAACUGCAUUCGAUACUGCGCGGCUAGAGUGCUGGAGGGGAGACUGGAAUUUACGGUGUAGCAGUGAAAUGCGUAGAUAUCGUAAGGAAGACCAGUGGCGAAGGCGAGUCUUUGGACAGCAACUGACGCUGAGGCACGAAGGCCAGGGGAGCAAACGGG